This 266-nucleotide ribosomal RNA is filed under the name uncultured bacterium. RNAcentral's name for it is "partial 16S ribosomal RNA". It matches the Rfam family "Bacterial small subunit ribosomal RNA", at positions 57 to 305 of the family's 1533-position model. The record is from RNAcentral.
GCAAGUCGAACGAGAAAGGGAUUGCUUGCAAUCCUGAGUAGAGUGGCGCACGGGUGAGUAACACGUAGAUAAUCUACCUUCAAGCCUGGAAUAACUAUUCGAAAGGAUAGCUAAUACCGGAUAAAGUUGAUUAACCUAAGUUAAUUUAUGAAAGAUUGCCUCUUCUUGAAAGCAAUUGUUUGGAGACGAGUUUGCGGACCAUUAGUUAGUUGGUGGGGUAACGGCCUACCAAGACUACGAUGGUUAGCUGGUCUGAGAGGAUGAUC